This is a non-coding RNA of Paramuricea clavata, 257 nucleotides long. The record is from the annotation of a GenBank genome assembly. Lineage: Eukaryota; Metazoa; Cnidaria; Anthozoa; Malacalcyonacea; Plexauridae.
AAGAGGAAAGGAGGAAAAUGGCAUAAUUUCUUUGCCCCUUAACAUCAUCAACUGCUUCAGAUAUGGGAAGAAAUUCAUCCUUCAGCCCGCUGCCAGAGCCGUUGGUCACUUUUCCCUGACUAUAGUCACCCUUGCAAACAUAUAUUUUGAAUAAGGAAAACUAAACGUCCACCUAAACGUUUCAACUUGUUUUUUACUAGAAAACUAACCCGGGUUGGAGAUGGGUUAAUUCUAAACAUGCAUAGGCUCAACCUCAU